RNAcentral lists this signal recognition particle RNA (265 nucleotides) under Caldisalinibacter kiritimatiensis. RNAcentral's name for it is "Bacterial large signal recognition particle RNA". It matches the Rfam family "Bacterial large signal recognition particle RNA". Rfam says of the family: The signal recognition particle (SRP) is a universally conserved ribonucleoprotein involved in the co-translational targeting of proteins to membranes. Archaeal SRP consists of a 7S RNA and homologues of the eukaryotic SRP19 and SRP54 proteins. The record is from Rfam by way of RNAcentral. Lineage: Bacteria; Bacillati; Bacillota; Tissierellia; Tissierellales; Thermohalobacteraceae.
UCGUGCUAGACGGGGAGGUGGCGGUGCCCUGUAACCUGCAAUCCGCCAUAGCAGGGUUGAAUUCCUAGCCCAGGCUUAUUACUGUAAGGUCUGCCCUAGAUAAGUGGCGUCGACGACUUGGUCCCGCGCAACGGGAACCCAUGAACCCCGUCAGGUCCGGAAGGAAGCAGCGGUAAGUGGAUCCUCUCGUGUGCCGUGGGGGUGCCGGGUCUGAGUUAACUGUCUAGGUAACGCUUGUAGUAAUAUGUCAAAGCUAGGUGCACGA